UCCCAUGUGGUCUAGUGGUUAGGAUUCGUGUUUUUUACCCACGCGGCUCGGGGUCGAUUCCCGGCAUGGGAA
This 72-nucleotide transfer RNA is filed under the name Caenorhabditis brenneri. Its description in RNAcentral is "tRNA CBN27619". It matches the Rfam family "tRNA". From Rfam's summary of the family: Transfer RNA (tRNA) molecules are approximately 80 nucleotides in length. Their secondary structure includes four short double-helical elements and three loops (D, anti-codon, and T loops). Further hydrogen bonds mediate the characteristic L-shaped molecular structure. tRNAs have two regions of fundamental functional importance: the anti-codon, which is responsible for specific mRNA codon recognition, and the 3' end, to which the tRNAs corresponding amino acid is attached (by aminoacyl-tRNA synthetases). tRNAs cope with the degeneracy of the genetic code in two manners: having more than one tRNA (with a specific anti-codon) for a particular amino acid; and 'wobble' base-pairing, i.e. permitting non-standard base-pairing at the 3rd anti-codon position. Lineage: Eukaryota; Metazoa; Nematoda; Chromadorea; Rhabditida; Rhabditidae. The record is from Rfam by way of RNAcentral.